GACGAACGCUGGCGGCGUGCUUAACACAUGCAAGUCGAGCGAUGAAAUCCCUUCGGGGAUGGAUUAGCGGCGGACGGGUGAGUAACACGUGGGUAACCUGCCUCACAGAGGGGGAUAGCCUCCGGAAAGGGGGUUUAAUACCGCAUAACGUUAGUUUUUCGCAGGGAGAACGAUUUAAAGGAGUAACCCGCUUUGAGAUGGACCCGCGGCGCAUUAGCUAGUUGGCGAGGUAACGGCUCACCAAGGCGACGAUGCGUAGCCGACCGGAGAGGGUGAUCGGCCACAUUGGAACUGAGACACGGUCCAGACUCCUACGGGAGGCAGCAGUGGGGAAUAUUGCACAAUGGGCGAAAGCCUGAUGCAGCAACGCCGCGUGAGUGAUGAAGGCCUUCGGGUUGUAAAGCUCUGUCUUUUGGGACGAUAAUGACGGUACCAAAGGAGGAAGCCACGGCUAACUACGUGCCAGCCGCCGCGGUAA
Molecule: ribosomal RNA, 478 nt
Filed under: uncultured bacterium
Lineage: Bacteria
Description: partial 16S ribosomal RNA
Rfam family: Bacterial small subunit ribosomal RNA
Source: RNAcentral